This 830-nucleotide long non-coding RNA is filed under the name Homo sapiens (human). RNAcentral describes it as "HSALNT0017363". Lineage: Eukaryota; Metazoa; Chordata; Mammalia; Primates; Hominidae. The record is from RNAcentral.
AUGGCCUAACAAAUCCCCUAGCUCGAGUCAGCCUUCAGAGCACUGCCGGGUUGUUCCUGAGUCAGCUGCUAGCCCACACUUGAAUCACCCUUUGACAAGACUUCCCAGGCUGUGGCCUCACCCACCUCACACAGUCCUUGGUGUCCUCCUGCGUCAGGAGUGGGGAGCCUGAAGGUGACAUCUUGUUGGUUUGGAGAUGAUUUAUUCGCUCGUGUUGUAAAAUCUAAAAUGACACUCCUGGGAAGAGGAAGGAACUAUAAGGACCCGUGUGACCCAUUGCUGUCUGCCUGAAGCCCUGGCGCUCUGACCUGAGUGCACCGGGGUUAGGUGUCUCAGCCAAAAUGCAGGACUGCACGACGUCUAACACAUGGGAGAGAUGCUCUGAAACAUGGGGGUGGGUAUUCACUGCAUUCCAGAGUUGGGGGAUCUGGAGACCCAGUGAGUCCUUCGGACUUCACAGGCCUGUCUCCCCACACUUCAAAUUCCAAAUCGUCCUUCACCCAAAAGUGGGUAGGAGUCACUGGACUAUCAAUUUCCCCAAAAUUCUAAGAGAAGGAGGUAACCCGGGCCCCUACUUCUGCAUGUAAAAUAAACCGAAAUCACCACCUCUUGGCUGGCCUUGACAUUCAGCUCUGGGGACUCAGUGAGGCACUUAAUCCUGUAUUUCACCUCCUCUAAAGAGAAAAGUUUCCAAGCUACCCUUAAAGCUUUAUAUUUCAUUGGCUCCCCUCUUCAACGAGAUAAUUGAAGCUCAAAUUUAGACUGCCAGUGGGCCCCAGAGUCCCAGGAUGGUGCUGCAUAAGAAAAUUUCUGGCGCCAGGGUUGUUGCA